Molecule: ribosomal RNA, 253 nt
Filed under: uncultured bacterium
Lineage: Bacteria
Description: partial 16S ribosomal RNA
Rfam family: Bacterial small subunit ribosomal RNA
Source: RNAcentral
UACGUAGGGGGCGAGCGUUGUCCGGAGUUACUGGGCGUAAAGGGCAAGUAGGCGGUCGUCUACGUUUGGGGUAACAGCUCCCGGCUUAACCGGGAGAGCGCCUUGAAAACGGGGCGACUUGAGAGUCAGAGAGGGACACAGAAUUCCGGGUGUAGUGGUGAAAUGCGUAGAUAUCCGGAGGAAUACCAAAGGCGAAGGCAGUGUCCUGGCUGACAUCUGACGCUGAGGGGCGAAAGCUAGGGGAGCGAACGGG